CGCAGCCGCGGUAAUUCCAGCUCCAAUAGCGUAUAUUAAAGUUGUUGUGGUUAAAAAGCUCGUAGUUGAACCUUGGGCCUGGCUGGCCGGUCCGCCUCACCGCGUGUACUGGUCCGGCCGGGCCUUUCCCUCUGUGGAACCCCAUGCCCUUCACUGGGUGUGGCGGGGAAACAGGACUUUUACUGUGAAAAAAUUAGAGUGCUCCAGGCAGGCCUAUGCUCGAAUACAUUAGCAUGGAAUAAUAGAAUAGGACGUGUGGUUCUAUUUUGUUGGUUUCUAGGACCGCCGUAAUGAUUAAUAGGGACAGUCGGGGGCAUCAGUAUUCAAUUGUCAGAGGUGAAAUUCUUGGAUUUAUUGAAGACUAACUACUGCGAAAGCAUUUGCCAAGGAUGUCUUCAUUAAUCAGGAACGAAAGUUAGGGGAUCGAAGACGAUCAGAUACCGUCGUAGUCUUAACCAUAAACUAUGCCGACUAGGGA
Molecule: small RNA, 478 nt
Filed under: uncultured Paraglomus
Lineage: Eukaryota; Fungi; Glomeromycota; Glomeromycetes; Paraglomerales; Paraglomeraceae
Description: SSU rRNA
Rfam family: Eukaryotic small subunit ribosomal RNA
Source: RNAcentral